GCUAUAGCUCAGUGGUAGAGCAGAUGUUUUGAAAGCAGAAAGGUCUUGGUUCAAUCCCCAGAAUCUCCA
Molecule: non-coding RNA, 69 nt
Organism: Podarcis lilfordi (Lilford's wall lizard)
Lineage: Eukaryota; Metazoa; Chordata; Lepidosauria; Squamata; Lacertidae
Source: the annotation of a GenBank genome assembly